UGGGGAAUAUUGCACAAUGGGCGAAAGCCUGAUGCAGCAACGCCGCGUGAGGGACGACGGCCUUCGGGUUGUAAACCUCUUUUAGUAGGGAAGAAGCGAAAGUGACGGUACCUGCAGAAAAAGCACCGGCUAACUACGUGCCAGCAGCCGCGGUAAUACGUAGGGUGCAAGCGUUAUCCGGAAUUAUUGGGCGUAAAGAGCUCGUAGGCGGUUUGUCACGUCUGCUGUGAAAACUGGAGGCUCAACCUCC
This 250-nucleotide ribosomal RNA is filed under the name uncultured bacterium. RNAcentral describes it as "partial 16S ribosomal RNA". It matches the Rfam family "Bacterial small subunit ribosomal RNA", at positions 355 to 617 of the family's 1533-position model. The record is from RNAcentral.